Molecule: small RNA, 87 nt
Filed under: Epilithonimonas arachidiradicis
Lineage: Bacteria; Pseudomonadati; Bacteroidota; Flavobacteriia; Flavobacteriales; Weeksellaceae
Description: Chryseobacterium arachidiradicis Flavo-1 RNA
Source: RNAcentral
CCAUAGCCCGGAUUGCAGCGGUUACCCCACAACUAACGUUGGCAAAAGCCUUGGCGUGAGGAGUAUGAGCGGAAAGCCGGAAUAGCU